UACUGGAUCCGUUCCUGUAAGUGUGGAGC
Molecule: non-coding RNA, 29 nt
Filed under: Rattus norvegicus (Norway rat)
Lineage: Eukaryota; Metazoa; Chordata; Mammalia; Rodentia; Muridae
Source: RNAcentral